Molecule: unclassified non-coding RNA, 391 nt
Filed under: soil metagenome
Description: partial contains 5.8S ribosomal RNA, internal transcribed spacer 2, and large subunit ribosomal RNA
Rfam family: 5.8S ribosomal RNA (bases 1-122)
Source: RNAcentral
GAUGAAGAACGUAGCGAAAUGCGAUACUUGGUGUGAAUUGCAGAAUCCCGUGAACCAUCGAGUCUUUGAACGCAAGUUGCGCCCGAAGCCAUUAGGCCGAGGGCACGCCUGCCUGGGCGUCACACGUCGUUGCCCCCCCAUCUACUCCUUCGGGAUUGCGGGGGGCGGAUGAUGGCCUCCCGUGCGCCUCGCCGCGCGGUUGACAUAAAUGCCAAGUCCUCGGCGACGCACGCCACGACAAUCGGUGGUUGCGAAACCUCGGUUGCCCGUCGUGUGCGGUCGUCGCGCAUCGAGGGCUCGAAAAAAUUGCCGGGUUCCGGCUCGGCUUUCAACGCGACCCCAGGUCAGGCGGGGUUACCCGCUGAAUUUAAGCAUAUCAAUAAGCGGAGGA